This 850-nucleotide ribosomal RNA is filed under the name uncultured bacterium. RNAcentral describes it as "bacterial SSU rRNA". It matches the Rfam family "Bacterial small subunit ribosomal RNA", at positions 50 to 900 of the family's 1533-position model. The record is from RNAcentral.
GCUAUCUGCAGUCGAGGGGCAGCGCAGGUAGCAAUACUGGGCGGCGACCGGCAAACGGGUGCGGAACACGUACGUAACCUUCCUUUAAGUGGGAGAUAGCCCGAAGAAAUUCGGAUUAAUACCCCAUAAGAUUGUGGAGUGGCAUCACUCAGCAAUUAAAGAAUUUCGCUUAAAGAUGGGCGUGCGGCUGAUUAGGUAGUUGGUGAGGUAACGGCUCACCAAGCCAACGAUCAGUAACUGGCGUGAGAGCGCGACCAGUCACACGGGCACUGAGACACGGGCCCGACUCCUACGGGAGGCAGCAGUAAGGAAUAUUGGUCAAUGGACGGAAGUCUGAACCAGCCAUGCCGCGUGAAGGAUGAAGGUCCUCUGGAUUGUAAACUUCUUUUAUAUGGGAAGAAACCACUUUUUUCUAAAGGUGUUGACGGUACCAUAGGAAUAAGCACCGGCUAACUCCGUGCCAGCAGCCGCGGUAAUACGGAGGGUGCAAGCGUUAUCCGGAUUCACUGGGUUUAAAGGGUGCGUAGGCGGAUUAGUAAGUCCGUGGUGAAAUCUCCGAGCUUAACUCGGAAACUGCCGUGGAUACUAUUAAUCUUGAAUACUGUGGAGGUUAGCGGAAUAUGUCAUGUAGCGGUGAAAUGCAUAGAUAUGACAUAGAACACCAAUUGCGAAGGCAGCUGGCUACACAGAGAUUGACGCUGAGGCACGAAAGCGUGGGGAUCAAACAGGAUUAGAUACCCUGGUAGUCCACGCCCUAAACGAUGAUUACUCGACAUUUGCGAUAUACAGUAAGUGUCUGAGCGAAAGCAUUAAGUAAUCCACCUGGGAAGUACGACCGCAAGGUUGAAAC